Molecule: ribosomal RNA, 495 nt
Filed under: uncultured bacterium
Lineage: Bacteria
Description: partial 16S ribosomal RNA
Rfam family: Bacterial small subunit ribosomal RNA
Source: RNAcentral
GACGAACGCUGGCGGCGUGCCUAAUACAUGCAAGUAGAACGCUGAAGGAGGAGCUUGCUUCUCCGGAUGAGUUGCGAACGGGUGAGUAACGCGUAGGUAACCUGCCUGGUAGCGGGGUAUAACUAUUGGAAACGAUAGCUAAUACCGCAUAAGAGUAGAUGUCGCAUGACAUUUGCUUAAAAGGUGCAACUGCACCACUACCAGAUGGACCUGCGUUGUAUUAGCUAGUUGGUGAGGUAACGGCUCACCAAGGCAACGAUACAUAGCCGACCUGAGAGGGUGAUCGGCCAAACUGGGACUGAGACACGGCCCAGACGCCUACGGGAGGCAGCAGUAGGGAAUCUUCGGCAAUGGACGGAAGUCUGAACGAGCAACGCCGCGUGAGUGAAGAAGGUUUUCGGAUCGUAAAGCUCUGUUGUAAGAGAAGAACGAGUGUGAGAGUGGAAAGUUCACACUGUGACGGUAUCUUACCAGAAAGGGACGGCUAACUACGUG